UCCAGCUUUGCCAGUUGGGGUACACAGAAUCAAGCUGGAAGAAAAUAAACCAGCCAGCACCACCUGAUCCCAGUAGACACAAAUCUGAAUUACAAAAGCAGAGUUUGCAGUGGGAGCACUCUUGUCUAAGGAACCCUCUUCAACAGCAGAGGACUGCCAUCAGCCACACCUGGAUGAGUGAUCUCCAUUGCCAUGCGUGCUCCAGCAGUGAUUGAAUUUUCUUCUUCAUCAUGGUCAAAUAAAACUCCAUUGUGUAUGUGAUGGCCAUUCAUGGUUGUCAUCCUGACUAUCUGGAAUGGACUAGAAUCCAGAAAUGGAGGUCGCACUUGUGAUCCAAUCUUGAGGCAGGAUUACACAUGCCUUUAACCCAGAUAUUGAGCACAACCAUUCCUUCACUGGCAUUGGAGUCUACUGCUUCUAAAAUCCAGUAUAUACAGAAGACCAGCUGAGACACGCAGCCUCGUGGGACUGAGCAACUACUACAUUCUUGGACUCUCCAUUCACAGCUAGCCAGUGUUGACUGUAGCCUGUAAGUCACUCCAAUAAGUUCAUUCUGUAAGUUCUGUGACUUUGGAGAACCCUGAUUAAUACAGUGUAUACACCACAUUUUCUGUAACCAUCCCCCUGCCCAUGGGCAUGGGCUCCCUACCUUGGCUACUGUGACUAAUAAAUAGCAAUAAACAUGGUUGG
Mesocricetus auratus (golden hamster) is the source of this 690-nucleotide long non-coding RNA. RefSeq lists it as uncharacterized. Lineage: Eukaryota; Metazoa; Chordata; Mammalia; Rodentia; Cricetidae. The transcript is spliced from 3 exons. The record is from RefSeq and is a predicted model, not a curated record.